RNAcentral lists this long non-coding RNA (597 nucleotides) under Lathyrus oleraceus (garden pea). RNAcentral describes it as "Pisum sativum (pea) long non-coding RNA (PSAT_LNC036709)". The record is from RNAcentral. Lineage: Eukaryota; Viridiplantae; Streptophyta; Magnoliopsida; Fabales; Fabaceae.
CUUAUAUUUUACAAUAUUAUAUGUUUAAGAUCCACUUUAUAAUGAUAUCAUAUAAUAUAUAUUACUAUCUUAUUUUAUUCAUUUCUUACCAUGUCCAUACAACAUAAUACACAGUACAUACUCAUAACCUCUUUUACAAAUCCCAUGUAACAACUUACAAAAUUUACAAUUAACAUAAUAUAUUAGCAUCCACAAACUUCUCAAAUUUCUCACUCAUUCUAACAAACUUCUCAAAUUUCUCACUCAUUCUGAACUUCACAUAGACUAGACAUUUUUUCAUCACUCAUCUCACUCAAUUUUCCCUUAUACUCUAACGGAAUUUUCACAUACAUUACAUUUUUACAGACUCGAAACUAAACCAAAUUGAUUAUUAUAAAUCCCAAGAGAAAUGAGAAGAGGGGGUAGCCACCAAUUGCACAAGUUCAGAGCUACAAUUAAUACACCAUUACACAAUAGUCUCAUUAAAACCUUGCUACUAUCAAUUCAUCGUUUGAGUAUCAACCUCUCCACCAUAGAGCUUCACGCUCUGCCUCCAUCAUCAUCAUUAGCUUGAGCCAACAUCACAUCACCAUCACUUCCACUUUUUGUUUACUCUCA